This 260-nucleotide long non-coding RNA is filed under the name Populus trichocarpa (black cottonwood). RNAcentral's name for it is "long non-coding RNA (PTRI_LNC000682)". Lineage: Eukaryota; Viridiplantae; Streptophyta; Magnoliopsida; Malpighiales; Salicaceae. The record is from RNAcentral.
GGAGAAGAUGGAACUUCUGGGCAUGAAGAUGGAAUUAUUAAGGAGGCUGAAGAUUGGUCUGAUAUUGAUAGUUACUUGAGUGGUGAUGAGCUCAAUGAUGAUGAAGAUGAUGAUUAUGAAGAUGAUUGGAGUGAUGAAGAUGAUGAUAUGCCCCCAGAUUUUGAAGAUGAUGAUGAUGAUGGAACUGUGAGAAUUCGUUUGAGCAAAUCAAUCAAGCAGACAGAUACUGUAACAAAUGACAAAGAGAAGGUGCUCACUCC